Molecule: long non-coding RNA, 286 nt
Filed under: Sitophilus oryzae (rice weevil)
Lineage: Eukaryota; Metazoa; Arthropoda; Insecta; Coleoptera; Curculionidae
Description: uncharacterized LOC115874457
Source: RNAcentral
GUCUGGGCUGUAAUGUGGAGUUGUUGACUUCUUCCUUGCAAAAUUUGUACCAUCUGUUCGAAUUUCAAUGAAAGAGGAUAGAAUUUUUGUUGAGUCCAAAUUAGUUAGAGUUUUUUGGUACUAUAUUUGGCACUUUGUUGACACGUUGUUUUUUUCUCGUCACAUGGUUGAUCAUCCAACAUGGUUAAUACAGGAAGGACCAGUUUAAUAAUGAAGACCCUCGAAAUAUUUAGAGGUUUUCCCCGUAUGAAUUUAAGGCCUCUCGUGGUUUCUGAGCCAUACCUAC